Molecule: long non-coding RNA, 2869 nt
Filed under: Homo sapiens (human)
Lineage: Eukaryota; Metazoa; Chordata; Mammalia; Primates; Hominidae
Description: HSALNT0080995
Source: RNAcentral
GCCCCUCCCCCAGCCUCAUUACUGCCUUGCAGUUUGAUCUCAGACUGCUGUGCUAGCAAUCAGCGAGACUCCCUGGGCGUAGGACCCUCCGAGCCAGGUGUGGGAAAUAAUCUCCUGGUGCACCGUUUCCUAAGCCCGUCGGAAAAGCGCAGUAUUUGGGUGGGAGUGGCCCGAUUUUCCAGGUGCCCUCCUUUCCUUGACCAGGAAAGGGAACUCCCUGACCCCUUACGCUUCCCAAGUGAGGCAAUGCCUCGCCCUGCUUCGGCUGGCGCACGGUGCCCUGCACCCACUGUCUGGCACUCCCUAGUGAGAUGAACCCGGUACCUCAGAUGGAAAUGCAGAAAUCACCCAUCUUCUGCGUGGCUCAUGCUGGGAGCUGUAGACCAGAGCUGUUCCUAUUCAGCCAUCUUGGCUCCCGGAUCCAGUUUAACUUUUGCAGAGAGACAAGAUCUCUCUCCAUUGCCAACACUGGUCUCAAACUCCUGGCCUCAAGCAAUCAUCCAACCUCAGCCUUCUGAGUACCGGGAUUACAAGUGCGAGCCACUGUGCCCAGCUCCUGUUUCUACUUUCUUAAGUGAACCUGAGGAAUACCACAAAUGUGAGCAUGGCUGGAUCUUUUGAAUUAAAAUCCACACUGGGAAAGAAAUAGACCUUGAACAUCUUGCCAAAGGCAAACCACUUCAAUAGAACAUGGCUGGCGGCCAUAUGGACAUAUUUGAAUCCAACAAUUAAUUCAGCAAAGAAAGCUGCUUGUGGCAAGUUUUGAAUGUGCCAUUCCAGGUAGUGCUUUGAUGAUAAAUGAGGAGAAGAUUGCAAAGAAAAUGACAGCAACAUUUAUAAAAGGAUUCCUCUUAGGACUCUAGAUGCACGGAGAGUGGCCAGAUUAAUACAGACUGGCAAAAGAAGAACUUGGCAAAGUGAUUUGAUCACACACUUCUCACCCUCACAUCUCCUGACAGUUCCCCUAAUCCCUGCCCCACUUCCCCGCCAUGGGCUUCCAUCAGGAAACUCCUUGAUAUCAUCUUCGAGAAGAAAACUGAGGCAUAGAACAUUUGGGAAUGAAUCUAAGACUACACAUCUAGAAUAGCAGAGGAAGGCAAUGUAUCGCAUCCUGUAUUACCUUCCCCUGACCUCAUAGCUUCCCAAAACAGGAACAAUCAUGGGCUUUGAAGUUACAGGAAUGCAGAUGUGAUUCCUAUGGAUGAGGGUAACCUAGAGGCUAGAAGAACAAUAGGACAGAAGAAGCCUGGGUCCCUGAACAACCUUGUGGAGCAUAGACACCUACGUGGCCUGGACUGCCAGCUCACAAUGGGCCUCUCUGUGAGAGAAGGAAACUUCCCUCUUGUUUAAGCAACUGUGCUUUUGAGAAUCUCUUGGUCUAUACCCUAAUGAAUAAGGCCAUCAUAAAUGGAUAUCAAAGUAAGGAAAUUUGUGUAAAUGAUUUAAUAAAACAUUACCUCAGGUAUGAAAUAAUUCUACCUUGUGCCUUGACAACAUCAGGUAUUAUUCAUGCCCUUUUCUCUCCCUGUAAUGUCUCUUAUCCACGGGUAGAAAUUAUAUUUUCCAUCUAAGGUUUGCUCAAAUAUUAUCUACUUAAGUAGCUCUUACCAAUUUUGCCUCUCCUCCUGAGCUGACCCUAUGCCUUCUAUGCUGUUCCAGGUAAUAUUAAUCUCUUCCUUUGUACUUCUUUCACAGAACAUACUUUUUUGUCUAACAUAAUAACUAUAGGCAUAAGUGUAUAGAUUCCACUAGGGGCUUCAGAACAGAAACUAUCAUCUUAUUAAUUUUUUUCUCCCUGAUAUCUAGGGAAAUAUGUUAUAUAUAAUAGGCCCUUAGUAAUCCCAUAAAUGUUUGUGAGAUAUUCACUGACUAUAAGCCAUACUCUGUAUUUAUUUAGCUAAAACAGACGUCUUUCAUAUUUAGUUAGCAGAAAAUGCUCACAUUUACUCCUUUCCUGUUUACCAAAUGAAAGGGUAAUUGUUUUUUCACAGAUUGCACUAGAAAAGUGUCUUCUCUCUCUUUUUCAAAUAGAUUGUCUUUAAAACAUAUGACAGGAAAAGUGACUAUUGUUAGGAUAAGAUAAUUACGAUUGUAACAGCUAGUUUAAAAGAAGUGUCAGUUGCUCCUGUUUUAUUUUUCACAGGAUAGAGCUGCGGCCUGUCUCAGUAUGAUGUUUUCAGGAUCUGGUAUAUAUUUUUAUUUUCCUACAUGAAUCUUUCAUCCUUUUACUGACAUUUAUUCAUUUUAUCUAAUUAUCCUAAAAGGAAAGCUCUGGCCAGGCAAAUUGGUUGUUGUCUGCCUCUGAAGAGACAUUCAUAUCGCGUCGCUUAGCUUUCAAGUUUUGUGAUCAGGAACCCUCAGGCCCAUUUUUAAGGAGGUUUCAGGCUAGCUGAGCUUCACUGUCUCCCAAAAUGUACAAAAUGAGAUUACAUGAGGGACAAGAUCAAUUUACUGGAAGGUACUUAAGCAGUAAAUCUGGAGCUUUUUGUCCAGUCACUAUUGCUUUCAAGCUUUGUAGCAGAAAAUUAAGCCACAAGAGCUUUGACAAAUUAGAUAUUACUACCUCUAAUUGUGUAUGUUUAAGCUUAUCACACUGAAUUGCAGCAUUGUAACUGACUAUUAUGCCAACAAGGCCUUCGUUUAAUCAGCGCAGUGCCAUUUAAUCGCAAUUAAUCACUCAACUAAAAUGUCAUAUUAAGGUCACAGAAACUUGAAGGGCUAAAAGAAAAGAGAACAUUAAAGUCAGCUGAUGGAGGAAAAGAGCAUGGUGUGCCAAGGGAAGUUCUGAGCACUCUUUUUCAUUAGAAGCUGGUAGAACAUUUAAUGAGAAUUCAGUCUUAACUUUCAGCUGAGAUCAGAACAACGUGCC